RNAcentral lists this transfer RNA (65 nucleotides) under Klebsiella pneumoniae. RNAcentral's name for it is "tRNA-Gly". It matches the Rfam family "tRNA". Rfam says of the family: Transfer RNA (tRNA) molecules are approximately 80 nucleotides in length. Their secondary structure includes four short double-helical elements and three loops (D, anti-codon, and T loops). The record is from RNAcentral. Lineage: Bacteria; Pseudomonadati; Pseudomonadota; Gammaproteobacteria; Enterobacterales; Enterobacteriaceae.
GAAGUAGUUCAGCGGUAGAAUACAACCUUGCCAAGGUUGGGGUCGCGGGUUCGAAUCCCGUCUUC